Long non-coding RNA from Schistocerca piceifrons (Central American locust), 2045 nucleotides. RefSeq lists it as uncharacterized. The record is from RefSeq and is a predicted model, not a curated record. Lineage: Eukaryota; Metazoa; Arthropoda; Insecta; Orthoptera; Acrididae. The transcript has 3 exons.
GGCUGAUGAGAGCUGGAAGGUGAAUAAGUUCUGCCAUAGCAAAUCUUGGGUGUCAAGAAACAGAAGGAUGCUAUCCUGUUCCACCUCCAUGGUAAACUGUACAUUGGGGUGAGUUGAGCUGAGGUCAUGGAGAAAUUCACCUAAGCUCUCCCAUCCACGAGGCCCAACGAUGACCAUCAUCCACAUAAUGGUAGAAAGAGGUGUGUCAUCAGAAGCCGCUCGUGACUGAUUCCUCAGAUCUUAUGGGUCAGACCUGUUGGCUAUAGAGUUGGUACUGAACUCUACUACACCUGCUUCGGCCAGUGCCAGGCCGUCUGCCGGUACCGGCACUGCUUUGCUUCCAGCCUCGCACAGCUGUUCAGGCUCUUGGGUUUGGCUGCUGGAUGAAGUGGGUAUUAGUGGUAAUUGAGAGUACCCAUGGCUGAUGCCUCUGCAUUGUUCGCAUGACUGUGGCUAAUGGAAGGGCAUCAUGACACGUCAACCACCUAUGACCACAUGUGCCUCUGCCACCCAACGUCAUCCGUCUGCUCAGCUGUCUCCUGCAUCACAGCCAGUGCCCUCGCCAUCUGUGUUGCUGCUGUCAACAUUUUCACAACUGUCUCCUCUGCUGUCAGGCCGUGGCAGGACCCCAGCUGCCGUGCUGUCGCACCUGAUGUCUCCACCACUGCCACCUCCAUCACAACUGGCGCUGUCUGUUCUGCCACCUUCUCCGCAACCUGCUUCACUGCGGCUGGACUCGCGUGUGGAAAUAGAAGCUAUCCCAGUGUCAGCUGUCCUAUCGUAACCUCUCACAGUGGGGGCAGGUGCCACAUCUGUCUGCGCCUGUGCCAGUUCUGACCGUACGUAUCGGUGGCAACACGUCACAUGACUCAACAGUUUACAUUGACCACAGAAGAAAUGGACAUGAGCACAGUGAUUACUCCUUCAUGAAGGAAGAGGAGUGCUGUACCUACCAAUUUUGUAAGUGCACCACUUCAUAGUUUGCACAUGAAGUUUGUGCUUGAUUUGGUCACUAGAGGGCACCCGGUCUGCUAAUAAGACAGCAGUUGUGAACACAGCCUGGACCUAGGCUGGAACGCAAGGCUCUGAUGGCCACUUGUUUAUUGCUAAUUUUAUUGUAUGUUGUCUUCCAUGUGUGUGCAUUGUUCGAGCAAUAAAUUACAGUGUUUUUGGGUCAGAACAACAGUGUUAUGAACAUACAGUUUAGGAGCCCCUGGUGGAACAAAUGCUUUAUGACAAUACGGUCAAAGAAAGACACCAGCUUCAGGCCCUCUGAAAUAUUUAAGCUUAGUUAAGCUUGAUAAUGAAAAUCUGAUAGCUAUGUCAGAUUCCUGUUGCUACUGGAACAAAAAUAAAAUAUGUUCUCUUUCUGAUGUUAUCUAGUACUCAUGAAGUAUGUGCUUAUGGAAGCCCAGCAUAAGUUUCCAGUUCCUCAAUGAUGACAGGCUAUAUGGUAGCAGAGAUGAAGAAAAAUGUAUCUUGUUUAUGACACUGGGGGGGUUGUAUAGAAUUGUUGGAAUCUCAGGACCUAAUGUAAAUUUUAAGACCAUUUCGAUGGGAAGGAAAAAAGAUGUAUUUUAGUGUCAGAAGCAGAACAGACACGAGUAUUUCAUAACACAACAAUUUUUGGGUUAAGGUAGCAUUCCAGAACUCUGAAUAGUUCAGAAUUUUGAGAGAUUAUCCAAAAAGUCACUUCCUACCAUGUGUUCAUGACCUAAUGUGUGAGAAGAUGUUUCUUUAAAAUGCAGUGGGAAUCCUCAACAGACGUACUCAUAUUAAUGCUGUUCCUAAGUAAAGAAAUACACAUUUCUUCUGUUAGUCUCUGUAAUAUAAAGGUAUUGAAGAUAUUCAUUCCUGAGAAGCGUCAAGCUUUUUAAAAUAGUUUACAAGCUACAACACCAGUGGAAUCUAAGGGGUGUUAAAUUAGUGAAAGCUACCUGAUUCACAGUGUCUGGCAUCAAGCAAAACAAUAAUACAGAUAUAUAAAAGUGACUGUAGAUGUGAUCUUGCUCAAAUCAGUUUAAAGAGUCUAAGUACGAUUUAUU